Non-coding RNA from Morus notabilis, 107 nucleotides. NCBI's taxonomy places the organism in Eukaryota, Viridiplantae, Streptophyta, Magnoliopsida, Rosales, Moraceae. The record is from Rfam.
UACCCAUGGUGAGGACACAGAUUUAACAAAUCUUUAAAAUGCUCAUAAGCUUGAUAAAGAGUUUCAUUUUCCUUCUGAAAGAAAGUCGAGAUCUAUUGUUUCAAAUU